UACGUAGGGGGCAAGCGUUGUCCGGAUUUACUGGGUGUAAAGGGCGCGUAGGCGGGCCUGUUAGUCGAUGGUGAAAUCCUACAGCUUAACUGUAGAACUGCCGUCGAUACUGCAGGUCUUGAGUUCGGAAGAGAGAAGCGGAAUUCCAGGUGUAGUAGUGAAAUACGUAGAUAUCUGGAAGAACACCAGUGGCGAAGGCGGCUUCUUGGUCCGUAUCUGACGCUGAGGCGCGAAGGCGUGGGGAG
Molecule: ribosomal RNA, 245 nt
Filed under: uncultured bacterium
Lineage: Bacteria
Description: partial 16S ribosomal RNA
Rfam family: Bacterial small subunit ribosomal RNA
Source: RNAcentral